AUCGCUUCUCAGCCUUUUGGCUAAGAUCAAGUGUCUAAAAUAUAUGUUCUCUUUUUCUAACCAUAAAGCCCUAUAAGAACUUUCUUCUUAUGCUCAGAGAAAGUAUAUAACCCGAUUUUUAAUAAGCUAUGACUUCUGUUUGCCUGUAAAUUCUAUCCUAACUUACGGAGACGGACCACCUACA
Molecule: small nuclear RNA, 184 nt
Filed under: Macaca mulatta (Rhesus monkey)
Lineage: Eukaryota; Metazoa; Chordata; Mammalia; Primates; Cercopithecidae
Description: U2 spliceosomal RNA (ENSMMUG00000061635.1)
Rfam family: U2 spliceosomal RNA
About the family: U2 is a small nuclear RNA (snRNA) component of the spliceosome (involved in pre-mRNA splicing).
Source: Rfam by way of RNAcentral